GGAUGGAGUUAUCCUGCCUUCAGACUGAUCAGAUAUGGCUGUGGGCUGGGGCUGGGAUCUUGGGAGACUGACAGACCCUCUUGGUGGAAGCUGGGAAAGAAAAGUGUGAUGGGAAAGUGAGGCAAGGCCAGCCGCACGGAGUGUCCCAGGCUGAUCCUGGCACAGUUUCUGCAAAACGUUGGCCCAUGAGAUUGGAGUUGGGAUGUGAGGCACUGGCUCAGUGAAAUAAAGAGAUGGCGUUCCUUGGAAUGGAGAUGGUCUAGAAAAUGAGGUACGAAUAUGCACUUCAUGAUUAUAAAAAUAACUGUCAUCUGGAGCAGAGUGACAUUUCCCUGGGACCGAACUACAGGAUGAACUUGAUGCUGGCUAAAGAAAGUACGACUAUAUGCUUCAAGAGUCCAAGGGCCAUCCCUCUUUUUGUAUGGUUAUAUCCCCAGAGUUUAGUGCACUACUGACACACAGGGCUGAACAGAAAGGAUGAUGGAGUACACAGCUUGAGUGAGGCCUACAUUGAAAUGUAUGUGUUCAGAGUUACAUCAAGCACUAUUUAGUUCUGCCUAAAGCCUUCCAUGGGCAACUGUGAGGAGAAGAGUGGGUCCAAAGAGCGAGAAGAGGACACUCAAUAAUUCUUCCCUAGGUUUUCUCAAAUAUCAGGCAAGUCUCACAGAACACGUGACACUGUAUUAUCAAUGCAGACUUCACAUUAAGAAUAGUUUAUGUGUGAACAUUUAAUGGACAGAGACAAAAAUGUCAUAUCUUCACAUCCAAUGGAAGGUGGCAAUUCAGUUCUGGCAAGGUCAUUUAUUAUUCCCUUUUGGGUAAUAUAUUAAGGAUAUUUGUUCCUUAAAUCUUUGAUCAAUCAUAACUCCACAUCCAUGUACUCUUAGUUGUUCAAGGAAAACUUUCCAGGGAAGAACAUUUCAAAGAAUUAACACUGGCAAAGCCAUAUUUUCCUUGUUCACUACUCAAUUAGGAUGAAUGUGGUUGUACAUACACAAUACAUCCAUAGUUAUAAACUCCUAUUUCACCUUAUCAUAUCUUCCCAGACCCCUUUUGCGUAUCUAAAUUGUACAGUGUAUAUCUAAGUCUCUUAAAGCCAAACUCAAUAUAUAGUCCAGCAUAGAGCCUUCCUUGCCAAUUCCCAUCUUCACUAAUCUCUCCCUCUAGAGAUUAUUUAACCUUAAAAUAGAAUGAAAGAUUAAGGCAACAGAGCAGUAUGGUUUAUGAACUCAGGUAAUGGAUUUAGAUAGACUUGAGUGUGGACCAUUGUUCUGCUAUUUUCUUUAUGCUAUCAGGCAAAUUACUUAAUCCCCCCUUAGCCUCAAUUUUCUCUUUGUUAGAAUGAGAACAAGAGCAAUCCUCAAGAAUGUUAUAUGAAUUGAAUGAGCUAUUUUCCAAUAUGCUCUGCAUGGUGCUUGACUGUAAACUCUCAAUAAAUAUAAGAUAUCUUUGGUAAUAGUGAAAAUAAUAUUACUAUUAGUCAACCAAAACAGAGGAAUUUUUAAAAAAUGGAAUGACAAUGUUUGAUACUUACUGUGACUACAAUGCUUUUUCUAUCAAUAAAAAUUCUAGUUAUCCUUUAA
Long non-coding RNA from Mustela lutreola (European mink), 1583 nucleotides. RefSeq lists it as uncharacterized. The transcript has 5 exons. The record is from RefSeq and is a predicted model, not a curated record. Lineage: Eukaryota; Metazoa; Chordata; Mammalia; Carnivora; Mustelidae.